This 309-nucleotide ribosomal RNA is filed under the name Rhodococcus sp. BC1_TSA1B6. Its description in RNAcentral is "bacterial SSU rRNA". It matches the Rfam family "Bacterial small subunit ribosomal RNA", at positions 1073 to 1380 of the family's 1533-position model. Lineage: Bacteria; Bacillati; Actinomycetota; Actinomycetes; Mycobacteriales; Nocardiaceae. The record is from RNAcentral.
UGUUGGGUUAAGUCCCGCAACGAGCGCAACCCCUAUCUUAUGUUGCCAGCACGUUAUGGUGGGGACUCGUAAGAGACUGCCGGGGUCAACUCGGAGGAAGGUGGGGACGACGUCAAGUCAUCAUGCCCCUUAUGUCCAGGGCUUCACACAUGCUACAAUGGCCAGUACAGAGGGCUGCGAGACCGUGAGGUGGAGCGAAUCCCUUAAAGCUGGUCUCAGUUCGGAUCGGGGUCUGCAACUCGACCCCGUGAAGUCGGAGUCGCUAGUAAUCGCAGAUCAGCAACGCUGCGGUGAAUACGUUCCCGGGUC